AAAACUGCGCUCGCGGUCGUUCCGACGAAGAAGAAGAAUGCGUUAUCCGUUUCAUCUAGCAAAGACAGGCAUACAAAAGUCAAUGGUAGAGGACGGCGCGUAAGGAUGCCGGCGUUAUGCGCGGCGCGUGUUUUUCAAUUAACGAAGGAACUAGGUCAUAGGACUGACGGAGAAACGAUAGAGUGGCUUCUCCGUAACGCUGAACCAGCAAUCAUCGCUGCUACAGGAACAGGUACGGUUCCGGCGACUCAAGUCACUACGACGUCGGAGA
This 271-nucleotide unclassified non-coding RNA is filed under the name Hevea brasiliensis (rubber tree). The record is from RNAcentral. Lineage: Eukaryota; Viridiplantae; Streptophyta; Magnoliopsida; Malpighiales; Euphorbiaceae.